GACGAACGCUGGCGGCAUGCCUAAUACAUGCAAGUCGAGCGAACAGAUGAAGUGCUUGCACUUCUGACGUUAGCGGCGAACGGGUGAGUAACACGUAAGGAAUCUACCUAUAAGCGGGGGAUAACAUUCGGAAACGGGUGCUAAAACCGCAUAAUAUCUUCUUCCGCAUGGACGAAGAUUGAAAGACGGCUCUUCUGUUACGUAUAGUUGACCUUGCGGUGCAUUAGUUAGUUUGUGGGGUAAUGGCCUACCAAGACGAUGAUGCAUAGCCGACCUGAGAGGGUGAUCGGGCACCUUGGGACUGAGACACGGCCCAAACUCCUACGGGAGGCAGCAGUAGGGAAUCUUCCGCAAUGGGCGAAAGCCUGACGGAGCAAUGCCGCGUGAGUGAAGAAGGCCUUCGGGUCGUAAAACUCUGUUAUAAGAGAAGAACAAAUUGUAGAGUAACCGCUACAGUCUUGACGGUAUCUUAUCAGAAAGCCACGGCUAACUACGUGCCAGCCGCCGCCGUAA
RNAcentral lists this ribosomal RNA (513 nucleotides) under uncultured bacterium. RNAcentral describes it as "partial 16S ribosomal RNA". It matches the Rfam family "Bacterial small subunit ribosomal RNA", at positions 28 to 523 of the family's 1533-position model. The record is from RNAcentral.